Molecule: ribosomal RNA, 327 nt
Filed under: uncultured eukaryote
Lineage: Eukaryota
Description: partial 18S ribosomal RNA
Rfam family: Eukaryotic small subunit ribosomal RNA
Source: RNAcentral
CCCUUAGAUGUUCUGGGCCGCACGCGCGCUACACUGAUUCAUGCAACAAGUUUUGUCCUUGGCUGAUAGGCCUGGGUAAUCUUUGAACGUGAAUCGUGAUGGGGAUAGAUGAUUGCAAUUAUUCAUCUUCAACGAGGAAUUCCUAGUAAACGCAAGUCAUCAGCUUGCAUUGAUUACGUCCCUGCCCUUUGUACACACCGCCCGUCGCACCUACCGAUUGAAUGGUCCGGUGAAAUCUUCGGAUCUGAGAGAUGUCUGAUUAAUUUCGGACGCCUUUUGGAAAAGUUGUUUAAACCUUAUCAUUUAGAGGAAGGAGAAGUCGUAACA